CCCGGGGGGCCGGCCUCGCCCGGCACGCCGGCGUCGCCGGGAGGACCGCGCGCGCCCAACGGGCCCGUAGGUCCUUGUGCACCCGUCGGCCCUGGCUGACCAGGGACGCUUAUUGUGAUGCAGGCAGGCAGGCACCCACCGACAGCGCGCGGCGCCAUGCAUUCGCCAGCCGGCGCCGUUGUCGGUGCGGCGUGGUCCGCCAUGGUGGACCUUUUUUCUUUUUCUUUCUUUCUUUUUUUUUAAACUUUUUAUGUUUCGGUGGAUUUCUUGUCUCCUUUGCCAAAGAAAUGGACCACUCCGGGCGGUGCCUGCGACAAGGCACAAACAACGGCAAACACACAAAGACACCAGG
This 352-nucleotide long non-coding RNA is filed under the name Pandoravirus neocaledonia. Its description in RNAcentral is "hypothetical ncRNA". The record is from RNAcentral.